AGUAAAAAAAAUGCAAAUACCAUGAAAAUUGAAAUUUAAAAAAAAAUAUAGGAAGAAGACACGGUUAAAUACUAUUUUGGACUGGCUACAAAACACAACGGUGAACGGAGAGAUAAAAGGUCGGAGUAUUCGUAAAGAAAAGAAAGAAUGGCACAAACCGACUGGAUUCGUAUUGCUCCCGAUGGGGUUCCAUGAUGUACUGACAAUGACUAAAAAAAAUAUCAGAUGAAAGAGAAAAAAUCAUUGAACAAUCGAAAGUGAAGUUAAUUGAAAUGAUCAGCAGACAGAAGUAAAAAGGAAGAGAUCAAAGAGAGAAUUAGAAGCAAGAAG
Chelonus insularis is the source of this 330-nucleotide long non-coding RNA. RefSeq lists it as uncharacterized. Lineage: Eukaryota; Metazoa; Arthropoda; Insecta; Hymenoptera; Braconidae. The record is from RefSeq and is a predicted model, not a curated record. The transcript is spliced from 3 exons.